CUGGGUUGCCAAGGGUCGCAAACUAGCGCACUGCACUCUUGGUCACUCUUCGCGGUUGCCGUGAAUCUUGGGAUGGUUGGUCUUUGUUGACACGCUGGAAUCUCGCUAAAGCACCAAGGCAAUACUGCUCCGCCGUUAUCGAUAACACAUGAUUACUUUUGGCGCGCAAGCGGCCGCACGCACUAGUGAUGCUCGCUAGCUGGCGCGUUUGUAGAACCGUCCAAAACUCUAGCUAAAGUUUGAAAGUUAAAUAUGACCUUUUUUUAACGGAAAUAGAACUAUGUCAAUAUAAUAUAUAGCCUAAUAUAUCUUUUGAGGUCAUCUGUG
Molecule: long non-coding RNA, 327 nt
Organism: Drosophila sechellia
Lineage: Eukaryota; Metazoa; Arthropoda; Insecta; Diptera; Drosophilidae
Exons: 3
Source: RefSeq, a predicted model, not a curated record